GAAACACAGCAGCAUCCUUCUCUGUUAAAACCCCUUCCUUUAAAACAUGUUUGCAUGUUCUCUCUCAGAGCGUGGUGUGUGUGUGUGUGUGUGUGUGUGUGUGUAUGGUAGUUUGUGUGUGUGUGUUCCUACAGUCUAUCUUCUGUCUCAGAGGGUUGUGUGUGUGUGUGUGUGUGUGUGUGUGUGUCUGUACGUGUGUGUGUGUGUGUGUGUGUGUGUGUGUGUGUGUGUGUGUGUGUGUGUGUGUGUGUGUGUGUGUGUGUGUGUGUGUGUGUGUGUGUGUGUGUGUGUGUGUGUGUCCCUACAGUCUAUCUUCUGUCUCAGGGGGUUGGUUCCGUACAGCAGGACGUGGGCCUCUGAGUGGACUGUCU
This is a long non-coding RNA of Gadus macrocephalus (Pacific cod), 371 nucleotides long. RefSeq lists it as uncharacterized. NCBI's taxonomy places the organism in Eukaryota, Metazoa, Chordata, Actinopteri, Gadiformes, Gadidae. The record is from RefSeq and is a predicted model, not a curated record. The transcript has 2 exons.